This 429-nucleotide ribosomal RNA is filed under the name Chloroflexota bacterium. RNAcentral describes it as "Chloroflexi bacterium partial 16S ribosomal RNA". It matches the Rfam family "Bacterial small subunit ribosomal RNA", at positions 355 to 776 of the family's 1533-position model. Lineage: Bacteria; Bacillati; Chloroflexota. The record is from RNAcentral.
UGGGGAAUAUUGCACAAUGGGCGCAAGCCUGAUGCAGCCAUGCCGCGUGUGUGAAGAAGGCCUUCGGGUUGUAAAGCACUUUCAGCGGGGAGGAAGGCGAUAAGGUUAAUAACCUUGUCGAUUGACGUUACCCGCAGAAGAAGCACCGGCUAACUCCGUGCCAGCAGCCGCGGUAAUACGGAGGGUGCAAGCGUUAAUCGGAAUUACUGGGCGUAAAGCGCACGCAGGCGGUUUGUUAAGUCAGAUGUGAAAUCCCCGGGCUCAACCUGGGAACUGCAUCUGAUACUGGCAAGCUUGAGUCUCGUAGAGGGGGGUAGAAUUCCAGGUGUAGCGGUGAAAUGCGUAGAGAUCUGGAAGAAUACCGGUGGCGAAGGCGGCCCCCUGGACGAAGACUGACGCUCAGGUGCGAAAGCGUGGGGAGCAAACAGG